ACUUUGAAAACUACCUCUCCUUG
Molecule: non-coding RNA, 23 nt
Filed under: Rattus norvegicus (Norway rat)
Lineage: Eukaryota; Metazoa; Chordata; Mammalia; Rodentia; Muridae
Source: RNAcentral